This 226-nucleotide long non-coding RNA is filed under the name Gallus gallus (chicken). Lineage: Eukaryota; Metazoa; Chordata; Aves; Galliformes; Phasianidae. The record is from RNAcentral.
CUAACCCACUCUCUGAAAGUACUGCAGAGGAGCCCCAUGUCUUCCAAACGAAGGAAUCUUUCUUAGUAAUUCCAAGUAUUACUUUGAGUUGCUGCACUGCAGAUGUUAUCACUAACAGUAUUCUUGUUACUUUUUCUCUGAGUGAAAAACUUCCUUUUAAUAUCUAACCUAAACUUCCCCGUCUUAGUUUAAAACCAUUACCCCUUGUCCUAUCACUAUCUACCCU